This 471-nucleotide ribosomal RNA is filed under the name uncultured bacterium. RNAcentral describes it as "bacterial SSU rRNA". It matches the Rfam family "Bacterial small subunit ribosomal RNA", at positions 30 to 507 of the family's 1533-position model. The record is from RNAcentral.
AUUGAACGCUGGCGGUAUGCCUAACACAUGCAAGUCGAACGAGGCAGCAAUGCCUAGUGGCGGACGGGUGAGGAAUACGUAGGGAUCUGCCCUUGAGUGGGGGAUAACCCGGGGAAACCCGGAUUAAUACCGCAUGAUCUCGCAAGAGCAAAGAGGGGGACCGCAAGGCCUCUCGCUUUUGGAGGAACCUACGUCGGAUUAGCUAGUUGGUGAGGUAACGGCUCACCAAGGCGACGAUCCGUAACUGGUCUGAGAGGAUGAUCAGUCACACCGGAACUGAGACACGGUCCGGACUCCUACGGGAGGCAGCAGUGGGGAAUAUUGGACAAUGGGCGAAAGCCUGAUCCAGCAAUACCGCGUGUGUGAAGAAGGCCUUCGGGUUGUAAAGCACUUUAAGUUGGGAAGAAAAAGCUUCACCUAAUACGUGGAGCCUUGACGGUACCGACAGAAUAAGCACCGGCUAACUCUGUG